This 332-nucleotide ribosomal RNA is filed under the name uncultured eukaryote. RNAcentral's name for it is "partial 18S ribosomal RNA". It matches the Rfam family "Eukaryotic small subunit ribosomal RNA", at positions 1470 to 1796 of the family's 1831-position model. The record is from RNAcentral.
CCCUUAGAUGUUCUGGGCUGCACACGUGCUACCCUGGCAGGUUCAGCGAGCUUCAUGCCCUGCUCUGAAAGGAAUGGGAAAUCUUUUCAAAACCUGCCGUGCUUGGGAUAGAUGUUUGCAAUUAUUCAUCUUCAACGAGGAUUGCCUUGUAAGCGCACGUCAUCAGCGUGCAUUGAAUACGACCCUGUAUUCUGUACACACCGCCCGUCGCUCCUACCGAUUGAAGUUUUCGGUGAGUUGACAGGAGGAUUUUUUUGAAACUGGUUCGCCAGUGGAUUUUAGAUCCAAAUGCCAACGAAUCGAUGGCUUUAGAGGAAGGAGAAGUCGUAACA